AAUAAAUCGUUGAAGAGACGAGUAGAAUGAAGUACGGAUUAACAGAGAGAAAAUCAUAGUUGAGAGAUUUUUAUUCCUAUUCAUUUGAAGACUACCUCUGAGAGAUUCUAAUACAAUCCGUUGACUACGUUAUCGUCGAAUGAAGUGAUAGGAAACUAUUAUUAGGGUGGAACCGCGGGUUGACUCGUCCCUUGC
RNAcentral lists this non-coding RNA (195 nucleotides) under Petrocella atlantisensis. Its description in RNAcentral is "T-box". It matches the Rfam family "T-box leader". Rfam says of the family: Uncharged tRNA acts as the effector for transcription antitermination of genes in the T-box leader family. T-boxes are found upstream of many aminoacyl-tRNA synthetase genes and some amino acid biosynthetic genes usually in Gram-positive bacteria. Lineage: Bacteria; Bacillati; Bacillota; Clostridia; Lachnospirales; Vallitaleaceae. The record is from RNAcentral.